RNAcentral lists this ribosomal RNA (490 nucleotides) under uncultured bacterium. RNAcentral describes it as "partial 16S ribosomal RNA". It matches the Rfam family "Bacterial small subunit ribosomal RNA", at positions 30 to 507 of the family's 1533-position model. The record is from RNAcentral.
AUUGAACGCUGGCGGCAGGCUUAACACAUGCAAGUCGAGCGGUAGCACAGGGCUGCUUGCUCCUUGGGUGACGAGCGGCGGACGGGUGAGUAAUGUCUGGGAAACUGCCUGAUGGAGGGGGAUAACUACUGGAAACGGUAGCUAAUACCGCAUAACGUCUCAAGACCAAAGAGGGGGACCUUCGGGCCUCUUGCCCUCAGAUGUGCCCAGCUGGGAUUUGCUUGUAGGUGGGGUAAUGGUUCACCUAGGCGACGAUCUCUAGUUGGUCUGAGAGGAUGACCGGCCACACUGGAACUGAGACACGGUCCAGAGUCCUACGGGAGGCAGCAGUGGGGAAUAUUGCACAAUGGGCGCGAGCCUGAUGCAACCAUGCCGCGUGUGUGAAGAAGGCCUUCGGGUUGUAAAGCACUUUCAGCGGGGGGGAAGGUGGUGAGCUUAAUACGUUCAUCAAUUGACGUUACUCGCAGAAGAAGCACCGGCUAACUCCGUG